GGGGUUGUGGCUCAGUGGUAGAGCACUCACCUAGCAUGUGUGAUGCCCUGGGUUCAAUCCUCAGUACCACA
Molecule: transfer RNA, 71 nt
Filed under: Marmota monax (woodchuck)
Lineage: Eukaryota; Metazoa; Chordata; Mammalia; Rodentia; Sciuridae
Description: tRNA.Ala
Rfam family: tRNA
About the family: Transfer RNA (tRNA) molecules are approximately 80 nucleotides in length. Their secondary structure includes four short double-helical elements and three loops (D, anti-codon, and T loops).
Source: RNAcentral